GUUGCCAGGGGCUCCGCGGAGUUCCGGCCUUGGCGGCAACGGGUGGCAAGUGUCCAGGGAGCGCCCCGCGGUGAGUCCAGGACGCAGAGAAGAGUCUCGCGGGAGCCUCACCCGAGACAGCACCGGCGCCCGGGCGAGCCGAGCCCUUCCGCGGUGAGUCGGCGCCCUGGGGUCGCCGCUCCAGGAGCUCAGGGGAGGCACCUCCCCUCCUCCGUGUCUCCGCAUGGCCCUAGGGCUCCCCACAGAGGGAGCCGGGGCCUCCCGCCCACGACCGCGGAGCGGCCCCUUCCCGCGUGGCGGGGCCAGCGAGCUCCUCUUGCGGGGCGUGGACGGGGCCGGGGUGCCCGGCAUCCAAGCUUAUGGAGCAGCCCCCUUUGAAGAUCUCCAGGUGGACCUCACAGAGAUGCAAAGUGUGGCGGUAACAAGUGUUUGCUAGUUCUUGUGUGUACCUGCUCUGGGUGGGUGGAGGCUCAUCCAACACGAACUGAGAAAGCUCCUGAAGUAACCCGUGUGCUUCUUCGAGAUCUUAUUCCUAGAUUUGGACUGCGCUUACGGAUGGGCUCAGAUAACCGCCGGGGGUUUGUGGCUGACUUGGUACAGAAGACAGCGAAGGUGACCCAGUGUGGAUCAAGGACUAGAACGUAGCCUCUUUGUGCCCAGGGUGGAAAGGACCCCAGACUGUCGUCCUGACCACUCCCACCGCUGUGAAGGUAGAGGGAAUCCCAGCCUGGAUCCACCACAGCCUUGUAAAACCUGCAGCGCCUGAAACCUGGGAGUCUCUCGUUCCACCUAACGAGAAACACCACAGGUGUGGAGGGGCAGGCCACCCCUUCAGGCAAGACCAAGCCCGGACAACCCUUGCGGAGUGACCCUGAAGAAGACGACAAGCCCUACUCCAGUCACACCCGGAAGCUGACUGGUCCACGCACGGCCGAAGCAUGAGGAAUCUCAUCGUGGGAUUCAUUUUCUUAAAUUUUGGACUUAUACAGUAAGGGCUUCAACUGACCUUACUCAAACCGGUGACUGUUCCCAGUGUAUUCAUCAGGUCACUGAGGUAGGACAGCAAAUUAAAACAAUCUUCCUGCCGGGCGCGGUGGCUCAAGCCUGUAAUCCCAGCAUUUUGGGAGGCCGAGACGGGCGGAUCACGAGGUCAGGAGAUCGAGACCAUCCUGGCUAACCCAGUGAAACCCCGUCUCUGCUAAAAAAAUACAAAAAAAAACUAGCCGGGCGAGGUGGCGGGCGCCUGUAGUCCUAGCUACUCGGGAGGCUGAGGCAGGAGAAUGGCGUAAACCCGGGAGGCGGAGCUUGCAGUGAGCUGAGAUCCAGCCACUGCACUCCAGCCUGGGCGACAGAGCCAGACUCCGUCUCAAAAAAAAAAAAAAAAACAAACUUUCUGUUCUAUAGUUAUUAUGAAUGCAUGGAAAUGUUGAAAGAAACUUGCUUGUAUAAUGCCACUCAGAACAAGGUAUGUAGCCGGGGAAAUGACCAACCUGAUGUGUGUUAUAACCCAUCUGAGCCCCCUGCAACCACUGUUUUCAAAAUAAGAUUAAGAACUGGCCUUUUCCUAGGUGAUACAAGUAAAAUAAUAACUAUAACAGAAGGAAAAGGAAUCCCCAAACAAGUAGCCUUAAGAUUUGAUGCUUGUGCGGCCAUUAAUAGUAACAAGCUAGGAACAGGAUGUGGUUCUCUUAACUGGGAAAGGAGCUACAGAGUAGAAAAUAAAUAUGUUUGUCAUGA
This is a long non-coding RNA of Macaca mulatta (Rhesus monkey), 1737 nucleotides long. Lineage: Eukaryota; Metazoa; Chordata; Mammalia; Primates; Cercopithecidae. The record is from Ensembl.